This 460-nucleotide small RNA is filed under the name Mycobacterium phage Papyrus. RNAcentral's name for it is "Giant, ornate, lake- and Lactobacillales-derived (GOLLD) RNA". It matches the Rfam family "Giant, ornate, lake- and Lactobacillales-derived (GOLLD) RNA". Lineage: Duplodnaviria; Heunggongvirae; Uroviricota; Caudoviricetes. The record is from Rfam by way of RNAcentral.
CGAUGGCGUGGUGCAUUCUGUGGCUCAAAAGGCGACGGAACACCUGGGGCAGCACGUCGUCAGAUCGUAUGGCCUGGUCUCCCUAAGGGACCACCAAAGCGCUCAGGCAAGAGCACUACCAUUGGGAGGUAGCAACGGUGUAAAAGCCGUUUCCGGUUCGACUCCGGCAAAGCAAAAGUCUGUCCCCGCUAGCAACGAAAGUACCCUAAUCCCUAGGGCUUACGCCAACUAGGGCACCAGAAGGCUCGCAAGGCCGACUGGUGUUGCUAGACAAAGUAGUGCAGGUAGGGGGAGGCCACCCCUGACCGAAUCGAAACGUCAGCGAGUAGUUCGCUAGUGUAGGUAGUGGUUCCGCCAAUCAAACGGGACCGGGUACGGUGGCUGCAAGUGGGAGCUUGCGGACAAGAAACUAACACAUAAGGUUUCGAAAGGCCACUGGGAUAGGGUCAAGUCUACGCCC